AAAAAAAUUGAACCUUUAUUUUUUCAUUGCAAAUUUUAUUUAUUACACUAUUAGUUAUUACUUUAUGAUAUGGUAAAAAAUCAACCCAAAAAAUUGAUUUGGUUUGGCCUCAGAUGACUUUUAAAAUGUUUAUAUCAUUGAAAAAGCUCCAAAUUAUCUCCCUUUGGUGCAAAAAUGCCAUUUUUUGGCAUUAAAUGUGAAAUAUCUUUUUUAACUCAUCGGUGACCUAUAUUUUUUAUUAUUGUUUUCAUAUAAGCUGUACAAACUAAAUAAUUGUAAAAUUUAAGCGAUUUCUUGAUAAGGUUAUUUUUUUAUUUCGAUAUUACCUCUAUUUCUCCUAUUAGUUCAACAGAAAAAAAGGACAUUAACAAAAAUGUAUGCUACUUUCGGAGGCAGAUCGUGAGCUUGAAAGAACGGUGACCCCAUUUUUUUUAUUUCAUUUUUAUAUUAAGUAUAUGAUCAAGUUCAUUUAUAAAAAAAAUAUGGCGAAAUCCUAUAUUAGAUAAAAAAAAAUGAUUUAUACCCAGG
Molecule: long non-coding RNA, 528 nt
Filed under: Mytilus galloprovincialis (Mediterranean mussel)
Lineage: Eukaryota; Metazoa; Mollusca; Bivalvia; Mytilida; Mytilidae
Source: RNAcentral